CCGCGGGACCUGGCUCGGUGGUCCGGCGCUCCCGAGAAUAACCUUUCUGUGCGGAUGGAUGUGCGCUUUCAAACCCCGCCAGAAGCUCGGCGGUUUCCCAGGAGCAGCGGCCCGUCCGCGCCGAGAGCUGGUGCCCAGGCCGGGCAGCGCCGCCCUGCCCGAUCCCCGGCGGGAUAUGCCACGGGACCCGCCGGGCGGCACCUGGAAAACCGGUGUCAGUGAGAAAUCCUGACAUUCGAUUAAAUUAUUUUUUUCCCCUUAAGUUACAACAAAAAAUAGUAGGUGCGAAGUGGAAGGUGCAUUUUCAGUGAAAACCCAACAGUUCUUUAAUGGCGGAUUAAGCUGUUGGAGGAAAUCCAGAGGAGGGUCACGAAGCUGAUAAGAGAACUGGAGCACCUCCCCUUCAAAGACAGGCUGAGAAAGUUGGGGCUGUUCAGCCUGGAGAAGAGGAGGUUGCGUGGAGACCUCAUAGCAACCUUUUUAGUAUCUGAAGAGGACCUACAUGGAAGCUGGAGAGGACCUCGUCGUCAGGAAAUGCAAUGAUAGAACAGGGAAUAAUGGGUACAAAUUGAAAGGGGAAAUUUAGGUUAGAUAUUAGAAAGAAAUUUUUUACUGUGAGAGUGGUAAGACACUGGACCAGGUUGCCCAGGGAGGUUGUGGAUGCCCCAACUCUGGCAGUGUUCAAAGCCAGGUUGGAUAAGACCUUGAGCAACGUGGUCUAGUGGGGUGUCCCUGCCCAUGGCAGAGGAUUCGAGACUAGAUGAUCUUUAAGGUCCGUUCCAGCCCCUUAACAUUCUAUGAUUCUAUGGUUACAUUUACUCCAGGGACAGGGAAGAAAGAGAGUCAUUGAUGAUCUCCCUGGUGAGGUAUCACCAUACCCAGUGGCCAUUUGUACUUUUCUGUACAACUCUGGCAUAAACUCUGAGCAAGUUUCAUCAUGGUCACUUCCAGCUAUAACUGUGCCUUGAAGAUGUUUGAGAGGUGACUAACAUUAGAAUGAUAAAACAAUAGGCACAAGCAGUACAGGGAAGGCAGAAAGAACAUGGGGUGAAUUCAAGAGCCAUAAUUCAACAGUCAGCAAACAAAGGGCAUGAUGCCAGACAAGUUCAGCCAUAAAGGAGCCUUGUCUUGGGGGCAGGCUGUGAUUGUUUGUGGACAGAUGGCUGCUUACCAGUUAAUAAAAAUAACUUCUGGAUACCUUUUCUUCAA
Molecule: long non-coding RNA, 1209 nt
Organism: Pseudopipra pipra
Lineage: Eukaryota; Metazoa; Chordata; Aves; Passeriformes; Pipridae
Exons: 3
Source: RefSeq, a predicted model, not a curated record